Molecule: transfer RNA, 73 nt
Filed under: Julbernardia paniculata
Lineage: Eukaryota; Viridiplantae; Streptophyta; Magnoliopsida; Fabales; Fabaceae
Description: tRNA-Gly
Source: RNAcentral
GUUCAAUUCCCGCUAUCCGCCCCCCCCCCUUUUUUUUUCUCUAAUAAUAACUUAUAGUAAUUAGUUUAAUAAC